GAGUUUGAUCAUGGCUCAGAUUGAACGCUGGCGGCAUGCCUUACACAUGCAAGUCGAACGGCAGCACGGGAGCUUGCUCCUGGUGGCGAGUGGCGAACGGGUGAGUAAUGCAUCGGAACGUAUCCUGGAGUGGGGGAUAACGUAGCGAAAGUUACGCUAAUACCGCAUAUUCUGUGAGCAGGAAAGCGGGGGACCUUCGGGCCUCGCGCUCUUGGAGCGGCCGAUGUCGGAUUAGCUAGUUGGUGAGGUAAAGGCUCACCAAGGCGACGAUCCGUAACUGGUCUGAGAGGAUGAUCAGUCACACUGGAACUGAGACACGGUCCAGACUCCUACGGGAGGCAGGCAGUGGGGAAUAUUGGACAAUGGGCGAAAGCCUGAUCCAGCCAUGCCGCGUGUGUGAAGAAGGUCUUCGGGAUUGUAAAGCACUUUAAGUUGGGAGGAAGGGCAGUAAGUUAAUAACCUUGCUGUUUUGACGUUACCGACAGAAUAAGCACCGGCU
This 499-nucleotide ribosomal RNA is filed under the name bacterium enrichment culture clone ALO1_GLFRUDD03F5SBM. RNAcentral describes it as "bacterial SSU rRNA". It matches the Rfam family "Bacterial small subunit ribosomal RNA", at positions 9 to 498 of the family's 1533-position model. The record is from RNAcentral.